UACGUAGGGACCGAGCGUUGUCCGGAAUCAUUGGGCGUAAAGAGCGUGUAGGCGGCCACUUAAGUCCUGCGUGAAAUCUUGCGGCUCAACCGCAAGCGGUCGUGGGAAACUGGGUGGCUAGAGUGCGGGAGAGGAGAGUGGAAUUCCCAGUGUAGCGGUGAAAUGCGUAGAUAUUAGGAAGAACACCAGUGGCGAAGGCGGCUCACUGGUCCGGUACUGACGCUGAGGUGCGAAAGCGUGGGGAGCAAACAGG
Molecule: ribosomal RNA, 253 nt
Filed under: uncultured bacterium
Lineage: Bacteria
Description: partial 16S ribosomal RNA
Rfam family: Bacterial small subunit ribosomal RNA
Source: RNAcentral